AGUGAACGCUGGCGGUAGGCCUAACACAUGCAAGUCGAACGGCAGCACAGUAAGAGCUUGCUCUUACGGGUGGCGAGUGGCGGACGGGUGAGGAAUACAUCGGAAUCUACUUUUUCGUGGGGGAUAACGUAGGGAAACUUACGCUAAUACCGCAUACGACCUACGGGUGAAAGCAGGGGAUCUUCGGACCUUGCGCGAUUGAAUGAGCCGAUGUCGGAUUAGCUAGUUGGCGGGGUAAAGGCCCACCAAGGCGACGAUCCGUAGCUGGUCUGAGAGGAUGAUCAGCCACACUGGAACUGAGACACGGUACAGACUCCGACGGGAGGCAGCAGUGGGGAAUAUUGGAAAAUGGGGGCAAGCCUGAUCCAGCCAUACCGGGUGGGUGAAGCAGGCCUUCGGGUUGUAAAGCCCUUUUGUUGGGAAAGACAAGCAGCAGGUUAAUACCCCGCUGUUCUGACGGUACCCAAAGAAUAAGCACCGGCUAACUUCGUG
RNAcentral lists this ribosomal RNA (492 nucleotides) under uncultured bacterium. Its description in RNAcentral is "partial 16S ribosomal RNA". It matches the Rfam family "Bacterial small subunit ribosomal RNA", at positions 29 to 507 of the family's 1533-position model. The record is from RNAcentral.